GACGAACGCUGGCGGCGUGCUUAACACAUGCAAGUCGAACGAAAAGAGGGAAAGAGCUUGCUCUUUCCGGAAUUGAGUGGCAAACGGGUGAGUAACACGUAAACAACCUGCCUUCAGGAUGGGGACAACAGACGGAAACGACUGCUAAUACCGAAUAAGUUCCAAGAGCCGCAUGGCCCAUGGAAGAAAAGGUGGCCUCUACCUGUAAGCUAUCGCCUGAAGAGGGGUUUGCGUCUGAUUAGCUGGUUGGAGGGGUAACGGCCCACCAAGGCGACGAUCAGUAGCCGGUCUGAGGGGAUGAACGGCCACACUGGAACUGAGACACGGUCCAGACUCCUACGGGAGGCAGCAGUGGGGAAUCUUCCGCAAUGGGCGAAAGCCUGACGGAGCAACGCCGCGUGAGUGAUGACGGCCUUCGGGUUGUAAAACUCUGUGAUCCGGGACGAAAAGGCAGAGUGCGAAGAACAAACUGCAUUGACGGUACCGGAAAAGCAAGCCACGGCUAACUACGUG
Molecule: ribosomal RNA, 513 nt
Filed under: uncultured bacterium
Lineage: Bacteria
Description: partial 16S ribosomal RNA
Rfam family: Bacterial small subunit ribosomal RNA
Source: RNAcentral